CAGCCGCCACGGUAAUACAGAGGAUGCAAGCGUUAUCCGGAAUGAUUGGGCGUAAAGCGCGCGCAGGCGGAUCGGUCAGUCUGUCUUAAAAGUUCGGGGCUUAACCCCGUGAUGGGAUGGAAACUGCCAAUCUAGAGUAUCGGAGAGGAAAGUGGAAUUCCUAGUGUAGCGGUGAAAUGCGUAGAUAUUAGGAAGAACACCAGUGGCGGAGGCGACUUUCUGGACGAAAACUGACGCUGAGGCGCGAAAGCCAGGGGAGCGAACGGGAUUAGAUACCCGGGUAGUCCCUGUCUCUUAUACC
Molecule: ribosomal RNA, 301 nt
Filed under: uncultured bacterium
Lineage: Bacteria
Description: partial 16S ribosomal RNA
Rfam family: Bacterial small subunit ribosomal RNA
Source: RNAcentral